Molecule: ribosomal RNA, 468 nt
Filed under: uncultured bacterium
Lineage: Bacteria
Description: partial 16S ribosomal RNA
Rfam family: Bacterial small subunit ribosomal RNA
Source: RNAcentral
GACGAACGCUGGCGGCGUGCUUAACACAUGCAAGUCGAACGGAAAGGCCAUGCUUUUGUGGGGUGCACGAGAGGCGAAGGGGUGAGUAAAACGUGAGUAACCCGCACUUGUCUUAGGGAUAAAUUCAGGAAAAUGGGGCUAAAACCGGAUAAGAGCUCCUGCUGCAUGGGGGGGGUUGGAAAGUUACGGCCGUGUGGGCUGGAAUAGCGGCUUAUCCGCUUGUUGGGGGGGUAGGCGCGGACCACGGCUUUGACGGGUAGCAGGCCUGGGAGGGUGACCGGCCACCUUGGGCCUGAGGUAGGGCCCAGUCUCGUACGGGAGGCAGCAGGGGGGAGUAUUGCACAAUGGGCGGAAGCCUGAUGCAGCAACGCCGCGUGCGUGAUGACGGCCUUCGGGUUGUAAACCGCUUUCGCCUGUGCCGAAGCGUGAUUGACGGUAAUGGGUCAAGAAGCACCGGCUAACUACGUG